UUCAGAGGUUUCAAGCGUUAUCCGGAAUGAUUGGGCGUAAAGCGUCUGUAGGUGGCUUUUUAAGUCCGCCGUCAAAUCCCAGGGCUCAACCCUGGACAGGCGGUGGAAACUACCAAGCUGGAGUACGGUAGGGACAGAGGGAAUUUCCGGUGGAGCGGAGAAAUGCGAAGAGAUCGGAAAGAACACCAACGGCAAAAGAACACUGCUGGGCAAAAAAUGACACGGAGAGACGAAAGCUAGGGGAGCGAAUGGG
This 253-nucleotide ribosomal RNA is filed under the name uncultured bacterium. RNAcentral's name for it is "partial 16S ribosomal RNA". It matches the Rfam family "Bacterial small subunit ribosomal RNA", at positions 524 to 776 of the family's 1533-position model. The record is from RNAcentral.